RNAcentral lists this ribosomal RNA (301 nucleotides) under uncultured bacterium. RNAcentral's name for it is "partial 16S ribosomal RNA". It matches the Rfam family "Bacterial small subunit ribosomal RNA", at positions 509 to 809 of the family's 1533-position model. The record is from RNAcentral.
CAGUAGCCACGGUAAUACGGAGGGUGCAAGCGUUAAUCGGAAUUACUGGGCGUAAAGCGCACGCAGGCGGUUUGUUAAGUCAGAUGUGAAAUCCCCGAGCUUAACUUGGGAACUGCAUUUGAAACUGGCAAGCUAGAGUCUUGUAGAGGGGGGUAGAAUUCCAGGUGUAGCAGUGAAAUGCGUAGAGAUGUGGAGGAAUACCGAUGGCGAAGGCAGCCCCCUGGGCCAAUACUGACGCUCAUGCACGAAAGCGUGGGGAGCAAACAGGAUUAGAUACCCCUGUAGUCCCUGUCUCUUAUAA